This 162-nucleotide small RNA is filed under the name Atlantibacter sp. RC6. Its description in RNAcentral is "sRNA STnc430". It matches the Rfam family "Enterobacterial sRNA STnc430". The record is from RNAcentral. Lineage: Bacteria; Pseudomonadati; Pseudomonadota; Gammaproteobacteria; Enterobacterales; Enterobacteriaceae.
AUUAAAAUAAUGCCUCCGGUAAUUCCUAAAAUAAGCCGACGAAAGGUGUCUGCUAUAAAUUAAUUUCAGAUAAACCUCACGUGGCGAUUUUUAAAUACUCCCCGGACAACGGGAUUAAUCUGAUAAAAAAAUGCCGGCGUUAUGCCGGCAUUAUUAACAGGA